ACUUGCUAGUAGUAUUUCCACUCUCGUUUCAGCCCAUGAUGUUUAGCGCAUCAAACGUGACACCAUUGAAGCAGGAGCCAAGAUGCUGAUUGACUAUUCUUAACUACUUAGUCUCAAUCGAAAUCAGGUUUUCAAGCUUUUAUUACGUCUUAACGUUAUUCUUCAGAAAUGUCGUCUUUUUGGAAGGAUGAGCAGUAGAUGGCAAUAAUGUUCAUAUCAUUUAUUAGUUGGAAGAAAAAAAAAAUCAAAAAUCAAAAAAAGAAAACGAUGAACCAGAUAAUGCACUGAUAUCUAACGUUAGCUGUCCGCCUUUUUUUUUUAAUGAUUAUUAUGUAAAUUUUCGGAACAUAAACUAGUGUUGGAGGUUAGUUUGGUGCAUAAUUCAUACCUAUUUAUUUAUUUAUUU
Non-coding RNA from Erythranthe guttata (spotted monkey flower), 406 nucleotides. NCBI's taxonomy places the organism in Eukaryota, Viridiplantae, Streptophyta, Magnoliopsida, Lamiales, Phrymaceae. The record is from RefSeq and is a predicted model, not a curated record.